This 403-nucleotide ribosomal RNA is filed under the name uncultured bacterium. RNAcentral describes it as "bacterial SSU rRNA". It matches the Rfam family "Bacterial small subunit ribosomal RNA", at positions 356 to 773 of the family's 1533-position model. The record is from RNAcentral.
GGGGAAUAUUGCGCAAUGGGGGAAACCCUGACGCAGCAACGCCGCGUGAAGGAUGAAGGUUUUCGGAUUGUAAACUUCUUUGAUGAGGGACGAAAAAAAUGACGGUACCUCAAAAACAAGCCACGGCUAACUACGUGCCAGCAGCCGCGGUAAUACGUAGGUGGCGAGCGUUGUCCGGAAUUACUGGGUGUAAAGGGCGUGUAGGCGGGGAUGCAAGUCAGAUGUGAAAUACCGAGGCUUAACCUCGGAGCUGCAUCUGAAACUGCGUUUCUUGAGUGUCGGAGAGGAAAGCGGAAUUCCCAGUGUAGCGGUGAAAUGCGUAGAUAUUGGGAGGAACACCAGUGGCGAAGGCGGCUUUCUGGACGAUAACUGACGCUGAGGCGCGAAAGCGUGGGGAGCAAAC